UACGUAGGGUGCGAGCGUUGUCCGGAAUUAUUGGGCGUAAAGAGCUCGUAGGCGGUCUGUCGCGUCGAAUGUGAAAACCCGGGGCUCAACUCCGGGCUUGCAUUCGAUACGGGCAGGCUAGAGUUCGGUAGGGGAGUCUGGAAUUCCUGGUGUAGCGGUGAAAUGACGCAGAUAUCAGGAGGAACACCGGUGGCGAAGGCGGGUCUCUGGGCCGAUACUGACGCUGGAGGCGCGAAAGCGUGGGGAGCGAACGGG
This 255-nucleotide ribosomal RNA is filed under the name uncultured bacterium. Its description in RNAcentral is "partial 16S ribosomal RNA". It matches the Rfam family "Bacterial small subunit ribosomal RNA", at positions 524 to 776 of the family's 1533-position model. The record is from RNAcentral.